GCCUUCUUAGCUCAGUGGUAGAGCGUUGCACUCGUAUACACCAUUGAAUAUGCAAAGGCCGCUAGUUCAAGUCUGGCAGGAGGCA
RNAcentral lists this transfer RNA (85 nucleotides) under Lentinula detonsa. Its description in RNAcentral is "tRNA-Thr". It matches the Rfam family "tRNA". From Rfam's summary of the family: Transfer RNA (tRNA) molecules are approximately 80 nucleotides in length. Their secondary structure includes four short double-helical elements and three loops (D, anti-codon, and T loops). Further hydrogen bonds mediate the characteristic L-shaped molecular structure. tRNAs have two regions of fundamental functional importance: the anti-codon, which is responsible for specific mRNA codon recognition, and the 3' end, to which the tRNAs corresponding amino acid is attached (by aminoacyl-tRNA synthetases). tRNAs cope with the degeneracy of the genetic code in two manners: having more than one tRNA (with a specific anti-codon) for a particular amino acid; and 'wobble' base-pairing, i.e. permitting non-standard base-pairing at the 3rd anti-codon position. Lineage: Eukaryota; Fungi; Basidiomycota; Agaricomycetes; Agaricales; Omphalotaceae. The record is from RNAcentral.